This is an RNA transcript of Heterocephalus glaber (naked mole-rat), 2358 nucleotides long. It is a transcript of the gene named dual specificity phosphatase 23, with no coding region annotated. The record is from RefSeq and is a predicted model, not a curated record. NCBI's taxonomy places the organism in Eukaryota, Metazoa, Chordata, Mammalia, Rodentia, Bathyergidae.
CCAGGUACGGGUCGGUUACCCCGCCCCGAGGGCGGGCGGGCGACAGGGCGAAGCCGGAAGGGCCACUCGCCGGGUGACCCCUGCCGGGUGCCCUCCCCCCAGCCAUGGGUGUGCAGCCCUCUAACUUCUCCUGGGUGCUCCCGGGCCGGCUGGCGGGGCUGGCAUUGCCUCGGCUCCCCGCCCACUACCAGUUCCUGCUGGACCAGGGCGUGCGACACCUGGUGUCCCUGACCGAGCACGGGCCCCCCCACGGCACCAGCAGUCCUGGCCUAACGCUGCACCGACUGCGCAUCCCGGACUUCUGCCCGCCGGCCCCGGACCAGAUCGACCACUUCGUGCAGAUCGUGGACGAGGCCAACGCCCGAGGAGAGGCCGUGGGAGUGCACUGUGCCCUGGGAUUCGGCCGCACUGGCACCAUGCUGGCCUGCUACCUGGUGAAGGAGCAGGGCUUGGCUGCUGGAGAUGCUAUUGCUGAAAUCCGGCGCUUGCGACCCGGCUCCAUCGAAACCUACGAGCAGGAGAAAGCAGUCUUCCAGUUCUACCAACGAACUAAAUAAGGGGCCUCAGCACCCUCCUGCCAGGCCCCUGCUCUGCUGCCUACAUGGAAGGUAAGACCAGAGACAGAAGGAAGUGGACUCAAGCUUCAAGCCUCCAGCUCCCGUGGCUCCUGCUGGACUGAAGUAGCCCUUUCCUGCAGGUAUGAUCAAAAAUACGAUGAAUACUGCUGCCAGGUGCCAUCCAGCAGAAAGGUGGGCUCAUGAAGUAUUGCAGCGUAUCCUCACCUACAUGCAGCAGGAUCAGGUACUGUGCAACUUUGGGCUCUUCCCCAAAAUCAAAAUGACCAUGAAAGGUAAAUGUUUUGAAUCAAUUCAGGAAAUUGAGGCAACCACAAUGGCACAACUAAAGACACUCCCAAAGGAGGACUUCCAGGACGGCUACAGACAGCGCCAAACAUGACAGGAUAAGCAUGUUGGAAGUAGCCAGGUAUUUUCUCCUUUUCAUGGAUGAGGAAACAGAUUUAGAGAGAUGAAUAACAUACCAGAAACCACACUUGUGUUGAAGAAGCGGGGACAGAAACCCAAGUCAUCUCAGGAGCCCAGAGCUCUUGUUUCUUUGAGCAGACUUACACCUACCAAGAUUUUCCCUGGCUGCAGGGACGCAGGAGAGGCUUCGUCAUUGUCAGAGCUGACCAUGGGAUCCAUCUUGUCCACAUGGCCUUCAGGGACCCGUCUCUUCAUCUUCUGUUUGGUGCUGUACAUGCUGCUGAAGACAACAGCACCUGAAUUAUCUGCAGCUCUCUAACACACAGCCUGGGCACUGAAGGCCAAAAUAGUGAAUUCUCAUCAGUGUGGUUCUGUCACAUUCACUGUUGUCUAAUUCAGAGCACACAGAUGUCCUCACUCAGCAGGAUGGUCCUGAAGUGUGUAUGACUGGCAUGGAGCCCCCACAAGAGGUCUUUUUAUGUCUGAUGGUUUAUUUUAAAAAUGCUUAAUGCCCUUUCUGUUUUUGUCGUUGUUGUUUGACCCCUUAAUGCAUACCCAGCCCUGAGCCAGGUACUUUACAGACAUUCCCUCAUUCACUUCUCAAAAAAUAAAACCUGUGAAAAAUAAAUAAAUAAUAAAACCCAUGGGCAAAUUCCUAUUUCAAUAACCAAUGCACAGAUGAGCAAACUGAGACCCAGAGGGUUUUUAAGUAGCUUAUCCAAAGUCACAUGGUAAAGCAACAUUCCAACUCUACCCCCUUGAGCCUGUGAUUCAAAAAUACAUAGCAGUAUCUUGGGUUCCCCAGAAUCUGGGCAUUUGGACUCAUGGAACCAUCCCUGGAGCCCUCAGAUCACAUGGCUUCCUGAGUGUACUGCCCACCUCUUCCUCAGCACGGCUCUGAUUUGGGAGAGACCCGGCUGCCAGCACCUGCCACAUCCCCGACAGGUUCUCCACUCCGACACCAUCAAAGAUGCAGUACCCUGCCAAUUUAGAAAUGAGUUACACAAGCACAUCUUCCAUUACGUUUAAAGCUCUCUCAGGCUAUUGUGGAUUCAAGGCAUCCUCUUGAGAAGGCAGUGUGCUUGCCCACACAAGCAGCAGUCUGAGAAACACCUCGGUGCACGUCCAUGCCUGAAGCUGAUGACUUAUUUGCAGCCUUGAUAACAGGGUCCAUCGUGCCAAUGAAUUACUUAAAUUGCUUCAACCACUCUCACCCUGUUUUUCCCUUGACUUCACUCUGUUACCAUGCAUAUGUGAUCAAGAAACAAAUUAGUGAUGUCACCUCACUGAAUUUUCAAUAUGUGACAUUCAGUAUGGCAAACAGUUCUGGGAUUUUUCUCUCAGCUUUUAUAAUAAACAGACCAUCUCUUCUUUA